CUGGAGGUAUCAGAAGUGCGAAUGCUGACAUAAGUAACGAUAAAGCGGGUGAAAAGCCCGCUCGCCGGAAGACCAAGGGUUCCUGUCCAACGUUAAUCGGGGCAGGGUGAGUCGACCCCUAAGGCGAGGCCGAAAGGCGUAGUCGAUGGGAAACAGGUUAAUAUUCCUGUACUUGGUGUUACUGCGAAGGGGGGACGGAGAAGGCUAUGUUGGCCGGGCGACGGUUGUCCCGGUUUAAGCGUGUAGGCUGGUUUUCCAGGCAAAUCCGGAAAAUCAAGGCUGAGGCGUGAUGACGAGGCACUACGGUGCUGAAGCAACAAAUGCCCUGCUUCCAGGAAAAGCCUCUAAGCAUCAGGUAACAUCAAAUCGUACCCCAAACCGACACAGGUGGUCAGGUAGAGAAUACCAAGGCGCUUGAGAGAACUCGGGUGAAGGAACUAGGCAAAAUGGUGCCGUAACUUCGGGAGAAGGCACGCUGAUAUGUAGGUGAAGCG
This 494-nucleotide ribosomal RNA is filed under the name Escherichia coli. RNAcentral describes it as "partial 23S ribosomal RNA". It matches the Rfam family "Bacterial large subunit ribosomal RNA", at positions 1273 to 1767 of the family's 2925-position model. Lineage: Bacteria; Pseudomonadati; Pseudomonadota; Gammaproteobacteria; Enterobacterales; Enterobacteriaceae. The record is from RNAcentral.